Molecule: ribosomal RNA, 448 nt
Filed under: uncultured organism
Description: partial 16S ribosomal RNA
Rfam family: Bacterial small subunit ribosomal RNA
Source: RNAcentral
CACUCCUACGGGAGGCAGCAGUGGGGAAUAUUGGACAAUGGGCGCAAGCCUGAUCCAGCCAUGCCGCGUGAGUGAUGAAGGCCCUAGGGUUGUAAAGCUCUUUCACCGGUGAAGAUAAUGACGGUAACCGGAGAAGAAGCCCCGGCUAACUUCGUGCCAGCAGCUGCGGUAAUACGAAGGGGGCUAGCGUUGUUCGGAUUUACUGGGCGUAAAGCGCACGUAGGCGGACUAUUAAGUCAGGGGUGAAAUCCCGGGGCUCAACCCCGGAACUGCCUUUGAUACUGGUAGUCUUGAGUUCGAGAGAGUUGAGUGGAAUUCCGAGUGUAGAGGUGAAAUUCGUAGAUAUUCGGAGGAACACCAGUGGCGAAGGCGGCUCACUGGCUCGAUACUGACGCUGAGGUGCGAAAGCGUGGGGAGCAAACAGGAUUAGAUACCCCAGUAGUCCCAU